CACCCGGUGGCACAAGGGGUGCAUCUGCAGUAUAUGGCAAGUCAUCUAUAUCCUCUGCAGAAGUUUCCUGUUCGAUUCAGGGUCGGGUGA
Molecule: non-coding RNA, 90 nt
Organism: Mycena latifolia
Lineage: Eukaryota; Fungi; Basidiomycota; Agaricomycetes; Agaricales; Mycenaceae
Source: the annotation of a GenBank genome assembly